GACGAACGCUGGCGGCGUGCUUAACACAUGCAAGUCGAACGGAAAGGCCCUGCUUUUGUGGGGUGCUCGAGUGGCGAACGGGUGAGUAACACGUGAGUAACCUGCCCUUGACUUUGGGAUAACUUCAGGAAACUGGGGCUAAUACCGGAUAGGAGCUCCUGCUGCAUGGUGGGGGUUGGAAAGUUUCGGCGGUUGGGGAUGGACUCGCGGCUUAUCAGCUUGUUGGUGGGGUAGUGGCUUACCAAGGCUUUGACGGGUAGCCGGACUGAGAGGGUGACAGGCCACAUUGGGACUGAGGUGCGACCAAGACUCCUACGGGAGGCAGCAGUGGGGAAUAGUGCACGAUGGGCGGAAGCCUGAUGCAGCAACGCCGCGUGCGGGAUGACGGCCUUCGGGUUGUAAACCGCUUUCGGCUGUGACGAAGCGUGAGUGACGGUAAUGGGUAAAGAAGCAACGGCUAACUACGUG
This 468-nucleotide ribosomal RNA is filed under the name uncultured bacterium. RNAcentral describes it as "partial 16S ribosomal RNA". It matches the Rfam family "Bacterial small subunit ribosomal RNA", at positions 28 to 507 of the family's 1533-position model. The record is from RNAcentral.